Molecule: long non-coding RNA, 3964 nt
Filed under: Sus scrofa (pig)
Lineage: Eukaryota; Metazoa; Chordata; Mammalia; Artiodactyla; Suidae
Description: lncRNA (ENSSSCG00000058925.1)
Source: RNAcentral
AAGAGAAAGUUUUUGGGGAAAUCUAAAAGUUUUACUUUAGUUUGUAUAAUAAUUAACUUGACUACAUAAAUACUGGGAAAAUAAUUAGAAUCACAGAUUAUGUUGAAUGCCUAAAGAAAUAUGUUUGACAACUUUUAAUUUUCUUCCCUCCCACACACCACUUCCUAGUUUGUUUCUGGCACACCAGAUGUGUCUCAACACAGUUGCUGAUCUGGGUAGAGUUGUGUGAACAACCGUGAUUGUGGCAUAACAAAUUUUUUCAUUUGGAUUACAUUAAUGAAACUAAAAGUAGAAGGGCCACUAUUUUUCAGAUGCUGUGAUACAGAUAGGAGGGUUAGCCUGCCCUUUCUCUAAACCUCUGCAUCAGUGUUCUUUCACUAAGCUAACAUUAAAGUUUGUGUCCACGUGGUGAAUGUACAUAAAAGCUUCUUGUUUUUCAUAGUUAGAUACCAAAGGGCUACUUUGAGGCAUAAGAAUGAAGAGGGAUGAUUUUUGGAGAAAAGUGAAAAAAGAAUUAGUCACAGGGAAAGGUUUAUAAAUAAUAUUCCCUUUUCUAUUUUCCAGGCUUUUUGAAUAGGCCAAUUAACUUGCUGUUUUUUAGCUUAAAAUCAGCUUUGGUUCUUGAUCUCCAUGGAGAAAAUACUUUCUUUAGGCAUAUUUAUUUUGCCUUUCAUUUAUUUACUGUACUAAUUUUCUAAUUAUUCUUAGCCUUUUUUCAAUUUAAAUGCCAGAGUAAGUACUACACCCCAGAAAUUGUAAUUUAUUUCAAAGGAAUUAAUUUUGUUUUUAGCUUUGCCCUUAUAUGUGAUCUUUCUGUGUGUCCCUAAUUUUGAUCAUCUACUAGUAAUUUAUUUAAUACUUUUCCUCUCAUUUUUUAAUUAUAGAAUAAGCAAUAUUACCAUUAGAAAGAAACUGUUAUUUAACUUAAUAACUUGUGCAUUUAGUCUGUUUCUUUUCAGUUUCAGAUUGUAUUUGGUUUCAAUUUAUAUUGCCCUUUACAUGUAUUAUACCCUUUGAUGAAUGAUUUUCAAGAGUGAUUGUUUAAUCAUCUAGUUUACUUAAUCAUUUCUAUAAAGUUAGAGAUUUAGAUUUAUAAUCUUUUGCUAUUAUAAAUUACAUUACCACAGAAAAUCUAUUUGAGGAUGUCUUUCUUUCUUUCCUUUCCUUUUUUCCUUCCUUCUUUCUGUCGUUCUUUCGAUUCUCCCUCCCUCCCUUCUUCCCCUCCUUCCUUCCUUCAUUUUUAGAGUUAUUUACUCAUUUUAAACUUUCUGGCUUGACAUUGUUAGGCUAAAGGUUUUGAAUAUUUUUAUGGAUCAAAGGAUAUGAUUUUUUAAAAUGGCUCUUAAAGUGCUUUGUCAAAUUGCUUUCUAAUGUAAAUUGCCAACAAUCACAUAUAGGUUUAUCAGUUUUACUUUUCCAGGAACCUGGACAGUGUUGUGAAUUAUUUCUUAGAAUUUUUGUAUCUGUUAGUUAAAUGAAAAAUAGCACUUUGGUAUCAUUUUAAUUUGCAUUGGUUUGAUAAAUGUUUGAAUGUUCUUUUUUUAUGUGUGCUUCAUAAUCUGAUUUCCCCCUAUGCAUGUUCAUGUUAUUGACUGACUUUUCUUCUGGAUUUUAUGUUUUUCUGUCACAUUGUUUAUCCUUUGUUUGUAAUAUAGAAAACAAUCUUUUGUCUCUUGUACUUCUUAAAUAUAUUUCCUUUUCCUUAAGUUGUUUUCCUUUUCCAAUGACUAUUAAUUUAUUAGUAUUAAAGAUUAAAUUGUUACACAAAAUUUACAUCUUUUUGUUUUUUUAUUGACUCAAAGUUUAGAGUGCUAUCAUUCUUUCAAAAAUACCCAGUUCUGUUUCAUGCUAAUGUUUAAUGAGCUAAAUUGUAUCUGUUAAAUAUAGAUACAUAUAUACAUGCAUAUAGAGAGAAAGAGGAGAGGUUAGUAUUAUAAUUAUAUGGUAUGGUGUAAUUUUUUUUCUUUUUAUGCCCAUACCUGAGGAAGUUCUUGGGCUAGGGGUCGAAUUGGAGCUGCAGCUGUUGGCCUAUGCCACAGCCAUGGCAACACGGGAUCUGAGCCACAUUUAUGACCUAUGCUGCAGCUUGUGGCAACAUGUAGGGUGUAAAUUUUGACUCAUUUUUUCCUCAAAUUACUGACCAGUUAUCUCUCUAUCAUUUAUUUAAUAGCUUUCUUCCCCUGGACCCAUUGUUUUGAAUUUUCUUUUCAUGUUGCAUUAUUACAUUAUUACAUAUAAUUAGGUAUUUUCCUAGAUUUUAUGCCCUUAUUCAUUGAACUAUUUCAAAUUAUAUAUCAAAACCACAUUACUUAAAUUAUUAUUGUUGUGCAAUAUGUUUUAAAAUCUAGAGUAAUCUUUUCAAAAAUCAUUGAGUUUCUCCUGUGUUCUAGAAAAAGUAUGGAUAUAGAAAUUAAAAUUAUCCUGUUUCUAUACCUCUGAUAAUUAAAGGCUUGCCAGGAAAACAGGCAUGUAAAAUGUAUUUUACACUAAUGUGAUAAAAACCAUAGAAGAGAAGUGACUACAGAACUGUGGUAGCAUAAUGAAUAGUCUAUUUUCUAGUGCUAGUGACAGAUCUACUUUAAUUAUAAUUGCUAUUUUAUUAUGUCUACAAAAUAACUUUUGAUUUUUUUGAAUUUUGUAAUCUUCUCACAUAGGAUUAUUGUUUGUGUUAUUUAUUUCCCUAUUAAGUUUUAUAGUUUUCUUUAAUAUGAAGUUCUUAUUAGAGAAAUUUUAAGUUAAACAUAUAUAUGUUAUCAGUAUUGUUUGUGACAGUCUCUAGGUUUGAUUUAUUUCUUUUCAAAAAGCCUUUAUUUUGGAUUUAACACUCUCAUGGAAAAUUGGAGUACAUACUUCUUCAUCUUUUUUUUAUUUGGAAGCAGUCAAGUAUUCACUGGUAAUAUUUCUGGGAUUUGAUUGGGUUUAGCAUAUAUAUAAGACACAAGCAUGGAAGCAUCAUUGAUGUUUACUAGUAGUUAAUUUUUGAAACCAACAGGAAGCCAAUGAGAAAUUCUUGUGCAAAGAAAACCAUAUUAAACUUGAUUGAAUUUGUGGGGAAAAAUUUAUAUUCUGUGGCCUUGGAAACUUUAGAUUUAUCAUCUUUGGCAUGCGAAUUAUAGUUUCUAUUGUUGGAGCUGUUAAUUGGUGACAAUGAGGGCUUAAGAGAUGUUAAGGAGUUGUGGGAAAUGAAACAAACACGCAUUAAAGGGUAAUUAUUUCUGGAUUUCUGCUUAAAUCAGUUGUUUCAGCCCUACUUUUCAGAUGCAGAAGAAAGUUUAUUUCAUUAUUUCAGUUUUCUAAUCUGUGUUUUAUUUAAAAAUAUUUUUGUAUUUGCAAACUAGGUCAGGAGUAAGCAGGACCUUGGUGAUGUAAAUAAACAAAUCCUAGUGGAAGCCUGUCUGUGGACUUUCUCUUUUGUGUAAUUCUUUUUAUAUGGAAGAACACUUCUCUUGGCCAGGAUCCCAUUAUAAAAAAGGAAAGAAAGGUGGGGAUGAAGGGGGAUAAAUAUUCCUAGAGAGACUGCUUGAAUUUCAACCUUUCGAUUACUUGAUUAUUCUUAUGGCUAUGGGAGAUGAAAGAAUAAUGAGAAGUUCAUUUCCUUUAUGAAUCAUAUUAGACAAUAUGGAUAUACACAGGGCUCUUGACUUGAAUAAAAACCAUGGCCUUUAAACAGUUCUCUUUUUGGGGAACACAGUUUGCGGAGGAGCAGUGAAAUUGUUUUAGCAGUCCAAAUUCUGUGACUUCAGAGUAAGUUCAAGUGCAGGGAGAUAAGUGGCAGGCAUUUGAUAGUAAAUUUAAUCCAGGUGUUUAUUUUAUUUAAUAUAUGCAUUGCCUCAUUUAAAAAAUCAUUUGAGACAUCUUAUAAGAACAUAUUUAUUCAACUUAAUAAUGAGGAAGUGUAUAGAGAAGAAAGGACUUACUAUCAGGAGAACAUUUAUAAAUCAAUAGGAAGUCUUAACUAGGAAGU